GGUUGUCGUCAGCUCGUGUCGUGAGAUGUUGGUUAAGUCCCGCAACGAGCGCAACCCCUACGUUUAGUUGCUAACGCGUGAAGGCGAGCACUCUAGACGAACUGCCGUUGACAAAACGGAGGAAGGUGGGGAUGACGUCAAAUCAUCAUGCCCCUUAUGUUCUGGGCUACACACGUGCUACAAUGGCCGGUACAGACGGACGCAAAGCCGCGAGGUGGAGCAAAUCCUAAAAAGCCGGUCUCAGUUCGGAUUGCAGGCUGCAAUUCGCCUGCAUGAAGUCGGAAUCGCUAGUAAUCGCAGGUCAGCAUACUGCGGUGAAUACGUUCCCGGGCCUU
Molecule: ribosomal RNA, 335 nt
Filed under: uncultured Pelotomaculum sp.
Lineage: Bacteria; Bacillati; Bacillota; Clostridia; Eubacteriales; Desulfotomaculaceae
Description: bacterial SSU rRNA
Rfam family: Bacterial small subunit ribosomal RNA
Source: RNAcentral